GCUUUACCCUGGACGGCGCCCCCCGCCGGUGGUCUUCUAAACUCUGUUUUAUUGUGUCACUUCUGAGGAUUAUUAUAAAAUCAGUUAAAACUUUCAACAACGGAUCUCUUGGUUCUGGCAUCGAUGAAGAACGCAGCGAAAUGCGAUAAGUAAUGUGAAUUGCAGAAUUCAGUGAAUCAUCGAAUCUUUGAACGCACAUUGCGCCCAUUAGUAUUCUAGUGGGCAUGCCUGUUCGAGCGUCAUUUCAACCCAUCAAGCCCUAUUUUUGCUUGGCGUUGGGAGAACGCGGGGCCCUGGAGCCCCGCGCCUCCUCAAAUCCAUCGGCGGAGUCGUAGCGACCCAAGCGUAGUAAUUUUUCUCGCUUCAGGUGUUUUGCUGCAGGCGUUUAGCCGUUAAACCCCUUAUUCUUUUUAGGUUUGACCUCGGAUCAGGUAGGAA
Molecule: ribosomal RNA, 438 nt
Filed under: Eutypa sp. MN2L531
Lineage: Eukaryota; Fungi; Ascomycota; Sordariomycetes; Xylariales; Diatrypaceae
Description: eukaryotic LSU rRNA
Rfam family: 5.8S ribosomal RNA (bases 89-242)
Source: RNAcentral